CGUAAACAAAGGGAAGCGAGCCCGUGAAGGGGAGCAAAUCCCAAAAAUAACGUCCCAGUUCGGAUUGUAGUCUGCAACCCGACUACAUGAAGCUGGAAUCGCUAGUAAUCGCGGAUCAGAAUGCCGCGGUGAAUACGUUCCCGGGUCUUGUACACACCGCCCGUCACACCAUGGGAGUCGGAAAUGCCCGAAGUCUGUGACCUAACCGUAAGGAAGGAGCAGCCGAAGGCAGGUCGGAUGACUGGGGUGAAGUCGUAACAAGGUACC
Molecule: ribosomal RNA, 267 nt
Filed under: uncultured bacterium
Lineage: Bacteria
Description: partial 16S ribosomal RNA
Rfam family: Bacterial small subunit ribosomal RNA
Source: RNAcentral